This 367-nucleotide unclassified non-coding RNA is filed under the name uncultured Mycoplasmataceae bacterium. RNAcentral's name for it is "contains 16S-23S intergenic spacer region". Lineage: Bacteria; Bacillati; Mycoplasmatota; Mollicutes; Mycoplasmatales; Mycoplasmataceae. The record is from RNAcentral.
UCCGUUUUAUCAACGGCAGUCUCUCAAGAGUCCUCAACUAAAUGUUAGCAACUAAAGAUAAGGGUUGCGCUCGUUGCGGGACUUAACCCAACAUCUCACGACACGAGCUGACGACAACCGUGCACCACCUGUCACUCAGAUAACCUCCACUAUGUUUCCAUAGCUUUGCUGAGGAUGUCAAGUUUUGGUAAGGUUCUUCGCGUAUCCUCGAAUUAAACUACAUGCUCCACCACUUGUGCGGGUCCCCGUCAAUUCCUUUGAGUUUCAACCUUGCGAUCGUACUCCCCAGGCGGGGUAUUUAAUGCGUUAGCGGCGGCACCGAGAUUUCUCCCGAUAUCUAAUACCCAUCGUUUACGGCGUGGACUAC